AGCGAACGCUGGCGGCGUGCCUAACACAUGCAAGUCGAACGUGAAAAGGGAAACCUGAGUAAAGUGGCGUACGGGUGAGUCACGCGUAGGUAAUCUACCCCAGAAUCUGGAAUAACCUGCCGAAAGGCGGGCUAAUACUGGAUAGAGCGAGGGAACUCGUAAGAGAGUUUUUCGGGAAAGGGAGCCCGCAAGGGCCUUCGUUCUGGGAUGAGCCUGCGUCUCAUUAGCUAGUUGGUAAGGUAACGGCUUACCAAGGCGAUGAUGAGUAGCUGGUCUGAGAGGAUGAGCAGCCACACUGGAACUGAAACACGGUCCAGACUCCUACGGGAGGCAGCAGUGGGGAAUCUUGCGCAAUGGACGAAAGUCUGACGCAGCCACGCCGCGUGAGUGAAGAAGGCCUUCGGGUUGUAAAGCUCUGUCGGAUGGGACGAACAUCUUCAUAGUGAAUAGCUAUGAGGACUGACGGUACCAUCAAAGGAAGCACCGGCUAACUCCGUG
Molecule: ribosomal RNA, 498 nt
Filed under: uncultured bacterium
Lineage: Bacteria
Description: partial 16S ribosomal RNA
Rfam family: Bacterial small subunit ribosomal RNA
Source: RNAcentral